This 400-nucleotide unclassified non-coding RNA is filed under the name uncultured fungus. RNAcentral's name for it is "sequence contains ITS1". Lineage: Eukaryota; Fungi. The record is from RNAcentral.
ACGUCAUCCCCACCUUCCUCCAGCUUAUCGCUGGCGGUCUCCUGCGAGUUCCGCCUUUCGGCAUGGCAACACAGGACAAGGGUUGCGCUCGUUGCGGGACUUAACCCAACAUCUCACGACACGAGCUGACGACAGCCAUGCAGCACCUCGACUGGACCCCCUUGCGGGGUAGCGAUGUUUCCACCGCCGUUAACCAGCCGUUCGAGCCCAGGUAAGGUUCUUCGCGUUGCGUCGAAUUGAACCACAUGCUCCACCGCUUGUGCGGGCCCCCGUCAAUUCCUUUGAGUUUCAGCCUUGCGACUGUACUCCCCAGGCGGCAUAUUUAACGCGUUAGCUCCGGCACGGAUCAACUGAAUGACCCACACCAAAUAUGCAUCGUUUAGGGCGUGGACUACCAGGG